GGGACGUUAGCCCAGCGGUUUAGAGCGCUGCCUUCACACGGCAGAGGUCACUGGUCCGAAUCCAGUACGUCCCA
Molecule: transfer RNA, 74 nt
Filed under: Bacteroidales bacterium
Lineage: Bacteria; Pseudomonadati; Bacteroidota; Bacteroidia; Bacteroidales
Description: tRNA-Val
Rfam family: tRNA
About the family: Transfer RNA (tRNA) molecules are approximately 80 nucleotides in length. Their secondary structure includes four short double-helical elements and three loops (D, anti-codon, and T loops). Further hydrogen bonds mediate the characteristic L-shaped molecular structure. tRNAs have two regions of fundamental functional importance: the anti-codon, which is responsible for specific mRNA codon recognition, and the 3' end, to which the tRNAs corresponding amino acid is attached (by aminoacyl-tRNA synthetases). tRNAs cope with the degeneracy of the genetic code in two manners: having more than one tRNA (with a specific anti-codon) for a particular amino acid; and 'wobble' base-pairing, i.e. permitting non-standard base-pairing at the 3rd anti-codon position.
Source: RNAcentral